RNAcentral lists this long non-coding RNA (417 nucleotides) under Gallus gallus (chicken). Lineage: Eukaryota; Metazoa; Chordata; Aves; Galliformes; Phasianidae. The record is from RNAcentral.
CUUCCAUGGUCUCCGUCAGCCGAUCGGCGACCUUCCUGACCACGGCGCUCAGCGUCAUUUUGCCGUUGAGGAGCAGCUCCUCCACCAGCAGCUCCCCGGUGUCGCCGUACAGCGCUUUGGCCGUGUAGAUGUAGCGCGGGUAGCGCAGGAUGCGCAGCACCCGCCGCCUCUCAGCCUCGUACUCCACGCAGCCGCGCUUCUGCAGCUGAUACGUGGCCAGGUUGUGCUGCAGGAGGACACACAGCGCCUUCCUCACCUGGUCCAGCGCCAUCCCGGUGUCAGCGCAGACGGCCCGCAGCGGUUGGCUGCCCGUUCUCACCAGGAACGUCCCCACCUUCUCCACGAUCUCCCCGAAGUGCUCUCGCAGCAGCAGAGAGCACAGCUUUAUCUCUGCCUGCGUCAUGGCGCCGGGGUUGG